ACGAACGCUGGCGGCGUGCUUAACACAUGCAAGUCGAACGGAAAGGCCCUGCUUUUGUGGGGUGCUCGAGUGGCGAACGGGUGAGUAACACGUGAGUAACCUGCCCUUGACUUUGGGAUAACUUCAGGAAACUGGGGCUAAUACCGGAUAGGAGCUCCUGCUGCAUGGUGGGGGUUGGAAAGUUUCGGCGGUUGGGGAUGGACUCGCGGCUUAUCAGCUUGUUGGUGGGGUAGUGGCUUACCAAGGCUUUGACGGGUAGCCGGCCUGAGAGGGUGACCGGCCACAUUGGGACUGAGAUACGGCCCAGACUCCUACGGGAGGCAGCAGUGGGGAAUAUUGCACAAUGGGCGGAAGCCUGAUGCAGCAACGCCGCGUGCGGGAUGACGGCCUUCGGGUUGUAAACCGCUUUCGCCUGUGACGAAGCGUGAGUGACGGUAAUGGGUAAAGAAGCACCGGCUAACUAUGUG
Molecule: ribosomal RNA, 467 nt
Filed under: uncultured bacterium
Lineage: Bacteria
Description: partial 16S ribosomal RNA
Rfam family: Bacterial small subunit ribosomal RNA
Source: RNAcentral